RNAcentral lists this small RNA (291 nucleotides) under Pan troglodytes (chimpanzee). Its description in RNAcentral is "retained intron". The record is from RNAcentral. Lineage: Eukaryota; Metazoa; Chordata; Mammalia; Primates; Hominidae.
AUAUUAUUAUAAACCCUAAAUAUUUGGAAAGGGGAGUUAAUUACAACAUAAUAGUUAUAAUGUUUCUAUAAAUUUAUUGGAAUUUCCUCUAAUAAUAAAGCACCUGGAAACUGAAGAGGAACUUAAAGUUGCUCAUUGUUGCCUGAAAGAACAAGAGGAAACUAUUAAUGAGUUAAGAGUGAAUCUUUCAGAGAAGGAAACUGAAAUAUCAACCAUUCAAAAGCAGUUAGAAGCAAUCAAUGAUAAAUUACAGAACAAGAUCCAAGAGAUUUAUGAGAAAGAGGAACAACU